RNAcentral lists this ribosomal RNA (301 nucleotides) under uncultured bacterium. RNAcentral describes it as "partial 16S ribosomal RNA". It matches the Rfam family "Bacterial small subunit ribosomal RNA", at positions 509 to 807 of the family's 1533-position model. The record is from RNAcentral.
CAGUCGCCGCGGUAACACGAAGGGGGCUAGCGUUGCUCGGAAUGACUGGGCGUAAAGGGCGCGUAGGCGGAUUGUUUAGUUAGGCGUGAAAUUCCUGGGCUUAACCUGGGGACUGCGCUUAAUACAGGCAGUCUAGAGUGAGGAAGAGGGUUGUGGAAUUCCCAGUGUAGAGGUGAAAUUCGUAGAUAUUGGGAAGAACACCGGUGGCGAAGGCGGCAACCUGGUCCUUGACUGACGCUGAGGCGCGAAAGCGUGGGGAGCAAACAGGAUUAGAUACCCCCGUAGUCCCUGUCUCUUAUAC